CAGUGCGGAGCCGCGGGCCGGAGGCGGAGGGAGCGAUGGAGCCGGGAUAUGGCGGUUAUGGCACCUGGAAUACUGGGGCUGCCAACACUCAAGGUACAUAUGGGACAAAUGCAACAAGUUGGCAAGGCUAUGAAGGCUACGACUACUACAACACCCAAACCACUGCCACAAACUCAGCAGCCACCUACAACUAUGCAGCUGCCACCUCCAGCAGCUGGGAAACCCCCAAAACCUCAGAGCUGAGCCUCAACGCCGAGGUCGGCGCCGCCUCUGUGCCCGUCGCCUCCUACGGCCCCGAGACGGCGGCCAACGAGAACUCAGAUUCCAUCAUUGCCAAAAUCAACCAACGUUUGGAUAUGUUGUCCAAGGAAGGCAGUGGUGGGACAGGGGAGGGCAUGGAGGAGCAGGAGAGCUCUUUCCGUUUCGAGUCCUUCGACUCCUACGACUCCAGGUCCUCUCUCAACGACCGCGAGCUCUACCGGGGCGGUUAUGAGUACGGCGAGGUGGGGGCCGAGCGCGGCGAUUCCUUCGGCAGCCAUUUUGAGAGCCGCCGGGAUCAGCCCCGCGCCCGCGGCAACGGCUACGGCGCCAUCCGCGGGCGGGGCCAGAACCGGGGCCAGAACCGGGGCCGCCUCAGCGCCUUCAACCGCGGCGACCACUUCAUCCCCUCCUCCAGCUCCGAGCGCCUCUCGGCUCGGUGGAAUGAGCUCAACUACAUGGGGGGCCGUGGGAUGGGGGGGGGAGGCUCCAACCGGCUCCCAUCCCUCUUUUCCCAAGCCCUGGUUCCCGAUUAUGGAGAUUACGGAGAUUAUGGAGAUUACGGUGAUUAUGGAGAUUAUGGAGAUUAUGGUGAUUAUGGUGAUUACGGCGAUUAUGGAGACUACGGCGACUACGGCAUGAUGGGGAUGUCGGGCAUGGGAAUGGGACGCUACGGGAACGUGCCCUAUGGAAUGGGGAGGCAACGCAACAGGGACCGGAUGGGCGCGGUGCCCUGGCACAUGAACACCCUGGCGCCCAAAAGAAGAGGAUUCCGGAACCGCUCCGGGGGGCGAUCGGACGGCGAGGGGGGAGGACGCAAACGGAAGCAAUCCCAGAGUGGGGAGGAACCUGACAGCAAACACCCCAAAACUGACAGCGAGGGGGAUGACACCGAGAAUGAUGAGGGUGAAGGAGAGGAAAAAUCAGGAGAUGAAGCUGACAAAGCAUCUGGAGAUGGCUGCGAAGAGGACGAUGAGGAGGUGAAAAAGAAGAGGGAGAAGCAGAGGAGAAGAGAUCGGAUGCGAGAUCGUGCCAUGGACAGGAUCCAGUUUGCCUGUUCUGUCUGCAAAUUCCGCAGCUUUGAGGAGGAGGAGAUCCAGAAACAUCUCCAGAGCAAGUUCCACAAGGAGACUCUGCGCUACAUCGGCACCAAACUCCCGGAUAAAACAGUGGAGUUCCUGCAGGAAUACAUCGUCAACAGGAAUAAAAAAAUCGAGAAGCGGCGCCAGGAGCUGACUGAGAAAGAGGGCACCAAGCAGAAGCCAGAUCCUUUUAAGGGGAUUGGCCAGGAACAUUUCUUCAAGAAGAUCGAGGCAGCUCACUGCAUGGCCUGUGACAUGCUGAUCCCUGCCCAGAACCACCUCCUCCAGAGGCACCUUCGGUCUGCUGAGCACAACCGGAACCGCAGGAUGGCUGCGGAGCAGUUCAAGAAAACCAGCUUACACGUUGCCAAGAGUGUCCUGAAUAACAAACACAUUGUCAAGAUGCUGGAGAAAUACCUCAAGGGUCCGCAGGGACGUCCACAUCUCCUCAUGAUCAACGGUAUCAAAGGCUGCCGGCAGAUCUAAAUGAAUCGGCACGGGCCAGCGGCAGGAGGAGAUCUCCAGAUCCAUCCCAGCACGGUCUCCGUCCCAUUCCCAAGGUGCAAAACCAGACUGGAAAGGGGUGGAGGAAAAUCAGGAUUGCAGGGAGAAGAUCCCUUCACGGAUGAAAUCACGGAUCAAGACGUGGAGGAAAACUUGGAAGGUGGAGAUGGCGCCGUGGAAGGAGCCCCCGAAAAUCCCCCCCCCAACCCCAGCACCACCGAGGUCACCCAAGGAGGAGAAGGAGGAGGAGGGGGAGGAGGAACGGGAGAAGCUGUGGAAGCUUCUGAAGAGUUUCCCAAACCUGAGGAAUUCCUUAAAAAUCUGGGUGAACACGACCAGCCCCCCAAGCCCCUGCUGAUGCCGCCGUUCCUGCAAGACGAUGAGCUGGAAGCAGAGGAGAUGACGUCAGAGGUGACGUCAGAGGUGACAUCACAAGCAGCAGCGACUACAGAAGCCAUGGAAGAGCCCCCUGCCCUUCCUGAAAACCCCCCCAGAUCCCCUGUUCCCCCCCAAAAUGAAACUGAGGGUCGGGUGGGCAAAGAGGAGGAGAUGGAAAACGGGAACGUGGCAGCGGCUGCGAGCGGCGAGGAGGAGGAGGAGGAGGAGGAAGAGGCUCCAGCAGCAGAGCCCAAAGCAGAGUAACUGUGAAUAUUGGUGUGAAGCUGAUGAUGUAACCCCCGAACCCCCACUUUUGAUUUAUUAUUCUUUUUUUUUUUUUUUUGUCUCUUGAGCACAGCACCCAAACGGGGCUGGUUUGGGUUGGAGCGGAGGGGACCCGGCUGCUUCCUUC
RNA transcript from Calypte anna (Anna's hummingbird), 2634 nucleotides. It is a transcript of the gene named A-kinase anchoring protein 8, with no coding region annotated. Lineage: Eukaryota; Metazoa; Chordata; Aves; Apodiformes; Trochilidae. The transcript is spliced from 14 exons. The record is from RefSeq and is a predicted model, not a curated record.